AUUGAACGCUGGCGGCAUGCCUUACACAUGCAAGUCGAACGGCAGCAUGGAAGAGCUUGCUCUUCUGAUGGCGAGUGGCGAACGGGUGAGUAAAGCAUCGGAACGUACCGUGUAGUGGGGGAUAACGUAGCGAAAGUUACGCUAAUACCGCAUACGCACUGAGGUGGAAAGCAGGGGAUCGCAAGACCUUGCGCUAUACGAGCGGCCGAUGUCAGAUUAGCUAGUUGGUAGGGUAAAGGCCUACCAAGGCGACGAUCUGUAGCGGGUCUGAGAGGAUGAUCCGCCACACUGGGACUGAGACACGGCCCAGACUCCUACGGGAGGCAGCAGUGGGGAAUUUUGGACAAUGGGCGCAAGCCUGAUCCAGCAAUGCCGCGUGCAGGAAGAAGGCCUUCGGGUUGGUAAACUUAGCUUUGUUACGGAAGAAAUACGCACAGGCUAAUACUCUGUGUGGAGUGACGGUACCAAGCAUAAGAAGCACCGG
RNAcentral lists this ribosomal RNA (484 nucleotides) under uncultured bacterium. RNAcentral's name for it is "bacterial SSU rRNA". It matches the Rfam family "Bacterial small subunit ribosomal RNA", at positions 30 to 496 of the family's 1533-position model. The record is from RNAcentral.